CUGGAGGAUACAGCCAUCUUUUAUAUUCCAUUACUGAUGAACUUGAUUAACUGACUUAGAAACUUCCUUGCAGGAGGGCGAGCACUAUUAUACGUUCUACACACACGGUAUCCCCUGAGGCUUGUACUGCUGACAUGCUUUUUGUGUUCUAGUUACGGCUUGAAUUGAGAAUGCUUUCAAAGAGACUUGAAAGCUCAGAUGCUUUCCCUAGGCAAUGUAGACUUACUAAGUGCAUACGGAUGGGGAAGAUCACUCCGACAGAGUGAAGAGAGAGAAGAACUGCUAGUGGCACAAUCUGCUCUGCGAUCAGUGGGAACCUAAGGAAGGGUGAAGGCUGCGGACUCUGUUCCUGCAAGGUUACACUUGGGAGGAUUUUACACCCCAUCUCUGUGACUGCAGAGUAGAAAUAGGAGAUUCUGUUGUCUGGCAAUCCACGCUGACUGCCCUCUCUGGAUCCUCUCUGGAAUAAGAGCAGAUAGAAGCAUAUGACUUGAUGUCCAGAGGGUUUUGUUGAUGCAUGGGAUAAAUAUGAUCUGUCCUUGAAUUCUGACAGCAAGAAAUUGUAAGUGUUGUUGGAAGUGGUGUAAGAGAGCCUCUUGCUGUUGAAGUGAUUCUUCCCGCAGAUACUCACUAUGGCCUCAUCAGCAGCACCUAAAUAUAAUUCACACUCCUUGGAGAGCUCCUCAAUUAAAAGAUCUCUAAAAGAUGGAGCUAACUGGGAAAAAAGUGAAGAAAUACCCCGUCUGCCAGGAGAGACUAGAGUUA
Molecule: non-coding RNA, 765 nt
Organism: Meleagris gallopavo (turkey)
Lineage: Eukaryota; Metazoa; Chordata; Aves; Galliformes; Phasianidae
Source: RefSeq, a predicted model, not a curated record